This 282-nucleotide unclassified non-coding RNA is filed under the name plant metagenome. Its description in RNAcentral is "partial contains small subunit ribosomal RNA, internal transcribed spacer 1, and 5.8S ribosomal RNA". The record is from RNAcentral.
UUUCCGUAGGUGAACCUGCGGAAGGAUCAUUGUCGAAACCUGCCCAGCAGAACGACCCGCGAACUUGUAUAAACAACUGGGGGCGGGGGGCGUUCUCGCCCCGUGCCCCCGAACGGCGGGGAGACACUCGUGCCUUCUUGCCGAACAACGAACCCCGGCGCGGUCUGCGCCAAGGAACUUCAACUAAAGAGUGCCUCCGGUCGCCUCGGAAACGGCGUGCGUGCCGGGGGCGAAUCUUGUGCAAAACCAUAACGACUCUCGGCAACGGAUAUCUCGGCUCUC